UCCUUGCAGUGGACCCAGCUUCCCUUCUUCCUAUGGAAGCUUUCAGUCCCCACCCCAACCCAGUCCCAUUCCAGUUCAUUUGUGUCAGCAGCUAAUACCUAAAAACACGUGGAAUCCCCAGUAGUCACAGUGAACCUUGGUCAGGACUUCCCCUCCAGGAGUGAUAUUGCCCACAGUGAGAAGGUCUCUCCUACAUAAAUCACUGAUCAAGAAGAUGCUUCACAAGUAUGUCCACAGCCAAUGAAGAAAUUGACAUGGUCACAUGUAGGCCAUACCUAAUAUCUGUGAAGAUCUAGAUGUCUUCUCUCCACCUCCAACUACAUCCAACGCUU
Long non-coding RNA from Mastomys coucha (southern multimammate mouse), 332 nucleotides. RefSeq lists it as uncharacterized. The record is from RefSeq and is a predicted model, not a curated record. The transcript has 3 exons. NCBI's taxonomy places the organism in Eukaryota, Metazoa, Chordata, Mammalia, Rodentia, Muridae.